GCUCUUUAGGGUUAACGCCCAGAAGAGCCGCAGUGAAUAGGCCCAAGCGACUGUUUAUCAAAAACACAGGUCUCUGCUAAACCGUAAGGGGAUGUAUAGGGGCUGACGCCUGCCCGGUGCUGGAAGGUUAAGAGGAGUGGUUAGCUUCUGCGAAGCUACGAAUCGAAGCCCCAGUAAACGGCGGCCGUAACUAUAACGGUCCUAAGGUAGCGAAAUUCCUUGUCGGGUAAGUUCCGACCCGCACGAAAGGCGUAACGAUUUGGGCACUGUCUCAACGAGAGACUCGGUGAAAUCAUAGUACCUGUGAAGAUGCAGGUUACCCGCGACAGGACGGAAAGACCCCGUGGAGCUUUACUGUAGCCUGAUAUUGAAAUUCGGCACAGCUUGU
Molecule: ribosomal RNA, 388 nt
Filed under: Staphylococcus aureus
Lineage: Bacteria; Bacillati; Bacillota; Bacilli; Caryophanales; Staphylococcaceae
Description: partial 23S ribosomal RNA
Rfam family: Bacterial large subunit ribosomal RNA
Source: RNAcentral